UACGGAGGGUGCAAGCGUUAUCCGGAUUUACUGGGUUUAAAGGGUGUGUAGGCGGGCCUUUAAGUCUGGGGUGAAAUCACCGAGCUCAACUCGGAAACUGCCCUGGAUACUAUUGGUCUUGAAUUAUGUUGAGGUUGGCGGAAUAUAACAUGUAGCGGUGAAAUGCAUAGAUAUGUUAUAGAACACCGAUUGCGAAGGCAGCUAACUAAGCAUAUAUUGACGCUGAGGCACGAAAGCGUGGGGAUCAAACAGG
RNAcentral lists this ribosomal RNA (253 nucleotides) under uncultured bacterium. Its description in RNAcentral is "partial 16S ribosomal RNA". It matches the Rfam family "Bacterial small subunit ribosomal RNA", at positions 524 to 776 of the family's 1533-position model. The record is from RNAcentral.